AAUCAACUCUUAAAACACUUCCCCCCACCCCUCCCAUCUUCCCGGGCUCAACUUCACUCCCGGCUUCAACCUCCCCCCCCUCAGUGGCACAGGGGGACGGGGAAUGGGGGUUACGGUCAGUUCAUCUCACGGUGUUUCUGCCGCUUCUUCAUCCUCAGGGGGAGGACUCCUCUCAUCCUUCCCCUGCUCCAGCAUGGAGUCCCUCUCACGGGGUGCAGACCUUCAGGAGCAAACUGCUCCAGCGUGGGGUCCCCCACGGGGUCACAAGUCCUGCCAGCAAACCUGCCCUGGCAGUGGGUCCCCCACAGGGUCACAAGUCCUGCCAGCAAACCUGCUCUGGCCAUGGGUCCCCCAUGGGGUCACAAGUCCUGCCAGCAAACCUGCCCUGGCGUGGACUCCCCUCUUCAUGGGUCCACCGGUCCGGCCAGGAACUUGCUCCAGCGUGGGCUUCCCAUGGGCCGCAGCCUCCUUCAGGUGCCUCCACCUGCUCCGGCGUGGGGUCCUCCACGGGCUGCAGGUGGAAUCGCUACACCCCCUCAUCCUUCCUCCAUGGGCUGCAGGGGGACAGCCUGCUUCACCAUGGUCUUCACCACGGGCUGCAGGGGGAUCUCUGCUCCGGCGCCUGGAGCACCUCCUGCCCCUCCUUCUGCACUGACCUUGGUGUCUGCAGAGUUUCUUACAUCUUCUCACUCCU
Molecule: long non-coding RNA, 694 nt
Organism: Grus americana (Whooping crane)
Lineage: Eukaryota; Metazoa; Chordata; Aves; Gruiformes; Gruidae
Exons: 3
Source: RefSeq, a predicted model, not a curated record